Molecule: long non-coding RNA, 223 nt
Organism: Nothoprocta perdicaria
Lineage: Eukaryota; Metazoa; Chordata; Aves; Tinamiformes; Tinamidae
Exons: 2
Source: RefSeq, a predicted model, not a curated record
CUGUUUCCUGAGAUCACAGAGACACCUCUCAGUCACCCCAGACAUUGUCUUCUCCAGGCACUGCUACCAUGUUACUGAGGCAGUGAAACUGCCAUCCCUGCUGGGCACCAUGUUCAUUUAUGGAGCUGACAAGGGGGUUUUAAAUUAAUCCAGCUGAUUUGGGAGCUCCUUCAUGUAGAUCUGACCUCCAGCCUCAUGCUGAUGCUGAGGAGCCCUGUCUUCA